Long non-coding RNA from Polypterus senegalus (gray bichir), 559 nucleotides. RefSeq lists it as uncharacterized. Lineage: Eukaryota; Metazoa; Chordata; Cladistia; Polypteriformes; Polypteridae. The record is from RefSeq and is a predicted model, not a curated record. The transcript has 3 exons.
GGUGAGGGUCACAAUAGCGAUGCCAUUUAGACAGGGUCAGAUUGGACGCUUUAGCUUUUGCAGACAAACAGUUUUCAAAUGAUGCCUGUGAUAUGCCUGAUUGGAAACAAAGAGAUAAAAUUAAGCAAGCAAGAGUGGGACGUCACCUAUAGGCAGAGUGACCUCUGACUUGGACUGAUGACCACCGUAAUGCAGGUUACCUUUUUCUGAGUAGGCUGGAAUGAGUUAUAAAUGGAGCAAGACACUGAGGUGGUAAACACAAUGGACCAUGAUGACUUCACUAAUCUACCUUCUGUCAAUCCAAGGGACGCUUUUGGAAACAAUUUUGUCAAGUAGAUGAUAUGCUACCAGAUGUGAAUUUGUUUAACUCCAGAAGAAAAUUCUUAUCUGAUAUGCCAACUGAAGACGGACAUUUUCUGAUAUACAGUACAGGUUUCAGGUGUUUUCACAUUAAACAUGAAAAGCACAUAUUGUUAUUGUCUUUCCAUCAAUCCCAGUGGACCGAUUUCAUUGUAAUUUGGUACACUUACUCUUCAAAGAAAUUUGUGUUGAAAGUUCU